Molecule: ribosomal RNA, 440 nt
Filed under: uncultured bacterium
Lineage: Bacteria
Description: partial 16S ribosomal RNA
Rfam family: Bacterial small subunit ribosomal RNA
Source: RNAcentral
CCUACGGGAGGCAGCAGUGGGGAAUAUUGGACAAUGGGGGAAACCCUGAUCCAGCGACGCCGCGUGAGUGAAGAAGUAUUUCGGUACGUAAAGCUCUAUCAGCAGGGAAGAAAAUGACGGUACCUGACUAAGAAGCCCCGGCUAACUACGUGCCAGCAGCCGCGGUAAUACGUAGGGGGCAAGCGUUAGCCGGAUUUACUGGGGGUAAAGGGAGCGUAGACGGCAGCGCAAGUCUGGAGGGAAAUGCCGGGGCUCAACCCCCGAACUGCUCUGGAAACUGUGAAGCUGGAGUGCAGGAGAGGUAAGCGGAAUUCCUGGUGUAGCGGUGAAAUGCGUAGAUAUCAGGAGGAACACCGGCGGCGAAGGCGGCUUACUGGACUGUAACUGACGUUGAGGCUCGAAAGCGUGGGGAGCAAACAGGAUUAGAUACCCCUGUAGUC